This 467-nucleotide ribosomal RNA is filed under the name uncultured bacterium. RNAcentral's name for it is "bacterial SSU rRNA". It matches the Rfam family "Bacterial small subunit ribosomal RNA", at positions 335 to 800 of the family's 1533-position model. The record is from RNAcentral.
ACUCCUACGGGAGGCAGCAGUGGGAAUAUUGGACAAUGGGCGAGGGCCUGAUCCAGCCAUGCCGCGUGCAGGAAGAAUGCCCUAUGGGUAGUAAACUGCUUUUAUACGGGAAGAAAAAGGGGCACGUGUGCCCUGUUGACGGUACCGUAAGAAUAAGGAUCGGCUAACUCCGUGCCAGCAGCCGCGGUAAUACGGAGGAUCCAAGCGUUGUCCGGAUUUAUUGGGUUUAAAGGUGCGCAGGCGGACUUUUAAGUCAGUGGUGAAAGCCGGUAGCUUAACUAUCGAAUUGCCAUUGAAACUGAAAGUCUUGAAUGCGGUCGAGGUAAAUGGAAUGUGUCAUGUAGCGGUGAAAUGCUUAGAUAUGAUACAGAACACCAAUUGCGAAGGCAGUUUACUAGGCCGUUAUUGACGCUCAGGCACGAAAGCGUGGGGGAGCGAACAGGAUUAGAUACCCUGGUAGGUCAGUC